This 235-nucleotide unclassified non-coding RNA is filed under the name uncultured fungus. RNAcentral describes it as "sequence contains ITS1". Lineage: Eukaryota; Fungi. The record is from RNAcentral.
GUAUUGUAUUGCGUUAAACGCGGCAUACAUUCCAUGAGACUUUAUCACAGUGUGUGUGUGUGUAAAUACAUAGGACCACAGAAGGGGACAGAGCCCCCAGGGCUGCAGAACUAUGGAGGGUGCACAGGUGUGAGUGGAUAUGCAAACAGAGUGUGCACAUGCCCCCAUUUGAGGACCAGCAACAACUCGUGUUGACAAUUCGGUAAUGAUCCUUCCGCAGGUUCACCUACGGAAA